UUUCGCAAUGCCCGAAAGGGUGACGAAGCGACGCCGCGUGGGUGAGGAAGGCCUUCGGGUUGUAAAGCCCUGUCAGGAGUUAAGAAAUGUAAGUGCGCUAAUAUCGCAUUUAUUUGACGAAGGCUCCAAAGGAAGUCACGGCUAACUCUGUGCCAGCAGCCGCGGUAAUACAGAGGUGGCAAGCGUUGUUCGGAAUUAUUGGGCGUAAAGAGCACGUAGGUGGAUUUGUAAGUCAGAUGUGAAAGCCUUCUGUUCAACGGGAGAAUUGCAUCUGAAACUACAGACCUUGAGUAUAGGAGGGGAGAAUGGAACUUCUGGUGGAGCGGUGAAAUGCGUAGAUAUCAGAAGGAACGCCGGCGGCGAAAGCGAUUCUCUGGCCUAUUACUGACACUGAGUGUGCGAAAGCUAGGGGAGCAAACGGGAUUAGAUACCCCGGUAGUCCUAGCCGUAAACGAUGGGCACUAAGUAGAGGGGUUUUA
This 479-nucleotide ribosomal RNA is filed under the name uncultured bacterium. Its description in RNAcentral is "bacterial SSU rRNA". It matches the Rfam family "Bacterial small subunit ribosomal RNA", at positions 364 to 833 of the family's 1533-position model. The record is from RNAcentral.